RNAcentral lists this ribosomal RNA (253 nucleotides) under uncultured bacterium. Its description in RNAcentral is "partial 16S ribosomal RNA". It matches the Rfam family "Bacterial small subunit ribosomal RNA", at positions 524 to 776 of the family's 1533-position model. The record is from RNAcentral.
GACGUAGGGCGCGAGCGUUGUCCGGAUUUAUUGGGCGUAAAGAGCUCGUAGGCGGCUUGUUACGUCGUUCGUGAAAACUUGGGGCUCAACCCCAAGCUUGCGGUCGAUACGGGCAGGCUAGAGUUCGGUAGGGGAGACUGGAAUUCCUGGUGUAGCGGUGAAAUGCGCAGAUACCAGGAGGAACACCGGUGGCGAAGGCGGGUCUCUGGGCCGAUACUGACGCUGAGGAGCGAAAGCGUGGGGAGCGAACAGG